GAUAAACUCGGGGGACUGCUGACUAUAACCAUUUCUCAAAACAGAGGAAGGUUGCGGCAAUAACAGGUCUGUGAUGCCCUCAGAUGUCCCGGGCUGCACACGUGCUACAAUGAGUGGCGCAAUGUGCUAAUGUUUAAGGGAUAAGAGUGUGGUCAGUAGAACGUCGGGAUUUCCCCUGACGUCUCCCCCGCACGAUUAUCAGCCUUCCCUUAACAGGGCGGGCAACCUUUUCAAAAUACUGGUUUGAUGUUAAAGUAUUGAGUCGUUUUUUUUGGAUGGUGGUUUGUUAACCAAUACCAUCCGGCAACUGCUCGCGAGUUUGUGGUUCUGGCGACUCAUGGUGGGGACCGACGUUUGUAAUUUUUUGUCGCGUGUUAACUAGGAAUGCCUUGUACUGUCGAUUCACUAAG
RNAcentral lists this ribosomal RNA (410 nucleotides) under Globigerinoides ruber albus. Its description in RNAcentral is "partial small subunit ribosomal RNA". It matches the Rfam family "Eukaryotic small subunit ribosomal RNA", at positions 1405 to 1635 of the family's 1831-position model. The record is from RNAcentral. Lineage: Eukaryota; Foraminifera; Rotaliida; Globigerinidae.